CCAGUCCUUUGUGUUGCGGGAGGCAGCUGACAAGGAUGGCGGAGAAAUGUUAUGUUCCUGGCCCCCCUGGAUGGUGCCAGAUGGUGUGCCUUCUGUUUCCUCUACGGAAAUCUAGCCAUGGAAGGGAGCUGGUUGAAGUUUGCAUCCUCUGUGGUGUUAGCCAGGAACCACUAUGAGCAAGUCUGCAAGAAAGUUUAAGGAAGAAAGAUGUCUUUGAUUUUGCAUUUUCUUUACUCUGAUACUUGAAGAAAGUGAGGCUUAGAGGAUGCCUUCUACACCAUUAGAAACUUCUCAGUUGCCAUUAUGCACACUCACUUGAACAGUCAGUGCUUAUGGUGGAGUGCCCAGUGGCGCGUUGUGUUCAUGACUGCAUCCUGACGUGAUGGCCCCCUGUAUUCAAGUUGGGCAUGAAGUGGACAACAUGAUUUUAAUUCUGUGCCUUUGGAACAUAACCCUGUCUACAUCGGUCUACCUGAGAAAACUACACUGAAAAUUACUACAUUAAGAUUUGUUAGCAUGAAAACAUGACCAGUACCUGAGAACCCUGGUCGCCUUCCUUCAGCUGCAGCAACGCUAUCAGUGCCAUUUCUGCAGAUGACCUCACAACCUGGUUCUUCUCCUUGGUGCCAUUUACCAACAUGGGAAUCAGUGGCUUGGCAAUCUCCAUAGGUAGCAAGGAACCUCCAGAACCCGCUAAAUUCUCUGCUGUGUACUGGCAAGUUCGACACAUUCCCUGCUUCACCUCAUUGCUACUGUGGUUGAUCAGCUAGUAAAGAAAGUUUUGAAUUAAUUGCUAGAAAUUUGUUAGUCUCAAACUUAAGAUAUUGAUAAUUUACAUGAAAAUUCAUUAAGUUUGUGAUACUUCUCAGCCUUUGAAUUUCCAUUUCAGCUCCCUGCCUAUUAAAGUGAUUUCAGCUUUGUAUUUUAAUAAAUAGAUGCAUUGUACAUACACACGUCAAAAUCCAAAAAUGAUAAUAAAAGGAAUCAUUAUCCAUGCUUGGAAAAUAUUUCCUGGUAAGCAUAAGGUGGUCACCUUGGCAAAAGUCUGUAGAAGUCCAGAUGGCACAGGAUCUCCAGUAGAGAGUUGGUGGCUCAUGAAAAAGGCCACUCCAGACAGUGCAUUUUCUACAAGGGCCAAGCGGUCAGAUGAAAGGUAAGAGAGCAAGGUGGACGAGAUCUGGUCUGGAGUGGCCACCUCAAGGAUCUUUGAUGGAGCAGACUUUAAGACAGAGAAGAGAGCUGCCGAUCUCCCAUGGCGAACUGUCCAGUCUGCAUUACUGUUAUCCUCUGUAAUCAAACAUGCAUUACUGUUACGUGCUCCAGGUUCAUUCUAAUUCUUAAGUAUUGGUAACUACAAGAAAAAAAUUGUUCACUAUUGCACCACACAAAUGUGGUUAUAGUCAUGGGGAUGCUUAAUUUACCCAGGACAUGGUGGUUGAGGAGAGGCCGCAGCUCCUCUGAAGGCAGCCACGGCACCAAUACUCCCAGUGCCCCAGCAGCACACAGCCGGGUGGAGUCAUCAUCAUGGCACCCACCCUUUGAAAUUCAGGCUUACCUAGUGGGAGUAUCAUCAGCCGCCUUGACGGCAUUGUGGAGUUCAGUGAAGAGUGGGUCAGGCUUGGUGUGGAUGGUGAUGAGGUGAGCAAGGGCAGCCCCUGCACGCAGCCGCACACCUCGGCAAACCUAUCUCCAAGGAUCCUGAUGAGGGGACCUGUUACAUGUACCACUGAUGGCUUGAGUGCAUCUGAACUGGUAAGGCGGAUCACCUCUGACAAACCAUUAGCUGCUGCUUCCUUCAACUCUGGCUCCCCAUUAAGAACUGCUUCUCGGAAGAUGGGCAGAAUAGGCUGGAUGCCUGUUUGACAAACAAAAAACCUCAAAUACAUUAUCUAUCUACAUAUUGUAUCCAGUUAUACAUAUAAGUAUGUCACUUCUUAGAUGUUUACAAGCAGUCUUUAGCCUUUAGGAAUGUCUCCUUCACUCACUCACCUUUAGGAAGACAAAAACCAGGCAUAAGUUCUUCUCCCUUGAGGUCUGAUGCAGCAAAUUUAACGGCUUGUCGCACAUCUGCCACCAGAGAGCGCUGGUCUGCUGCAUCAAGACUCUGUUCAACAAUAUGUUGCAUCAAUAACCAUAAUGUCUAAUUACUAAAAAUAAAACAAAAAAAGGUAUGUUUAUUUGA
This 2182-nucleotide long non-coding RNA is filed under the name Portunus trituberculatus (swimming crab). Its description in RNAcentral is "uncharacterized LOC123519673, transcript variant X3". Lineage: Eukaryota; Metazoa; Arthropoda; Malacostraca; Decapoda; Portunidae. The record is from RNAcentral.